Cydia fagiglandana is the source of this 4743-nucleotide long non-coding RNA. RefSeq lists it as uncharacterized. NCBI's taxonomy places the organism in Eukaryota, Metazoa, Arthropoda, Insecta, Lepidoptera, Tortricidae. The transcript is spliced from 3 exons. The record is from RefSeq and is a predicted model, not a curated record.
AAGCGGCAAAAUAAGCAUUUAUUGUGUUGUUAAAAGCCCUAAGCCAUGAGCCAGGGUAUGUGAGGUGCAUGAUUACUUGAUUAGGGGCUAAACUCUGGAAAACCGGACCUUCGGCGACUAGCUGCCAACUUUCCCAACUCACUUUUACAUCAGCUCCUUUGAUUAAUAAAUUCAGGUAAAAUUCGUAAGAACUAAGUGCCUGUGCCAUUCUCUACAUUGGACGCUAUGCCUAAUUAGUUGUUAUUGAUGUUGAAUUUUCAGUGGCAUAUAAGACACCGGUCGUAUAACGACUUAGAAAUUUGGAUGUUUUCAGUUUGAAUGAAUAGCAAACUGGAGAGUUUUUGAUUAAUUUAAAACUUAUUAUUUUAGGUAUUUUGUGACGAAAGGUCUUCACAGACAUCGACAGAAAAUCGGGAAAGCCCGGCCAGAUGCGUCAGACCACGCAAAAUGGAGGAUUCCAUGCCUACUUGUCUUCUUCUACCAUGUAUAGGAACGCAUGAAAAACGAAAGUUUAAAAGAUAAUAAAUUUACGAUGGCUGUGGGAAAGCAACAAUAAUUUAAAGCAUCGAUAUAAGAUAAUCAUCUAUAAACUGUUUUCGGCCAUAGCGAAUACGUUUACCGCUAAGAAUGUCUCAAAGUAAAAAAAAGAAGUUCAAUAUACUGGCAUUGGUUUCACCAAGAACGAUGAGCGAGAAGCGAUUAGAAAUAUAAAACUGGAAACGAGUUGGGGCGUCCGGCUGCGACCGAAGCGAGUUUUUGAAUGCGAGUUUGACGUUUUAAACACCGUAUUUAAGGUUAAUAAGGUCUACAAGCUUCGAGAAGGAGGUCAACCGCCGAAUCCAACUUGGUUGGGCAGCGUUCGGGAAACUACGUAAUGUCUUUUCGUCCGACAUACCUCAGUGCCUCAAGACGAAAGUCUUUAAUCAAUGUGUGUUACCAGUGAUGACUUACGGCUCCGAAACGUGGUCUUUCACUAUCGGCCCCAUCUCAAAAUUCAAAGUCGCUCAACGAGCUAUGGAGAGGGCUAUGCUCGGAGUUUCUCUGCGUGAUCGAAUCAGAAAUGAGGAGAUCCGUAGACGAACUAAAGUCACCGACAUAGCCCACCGGAUUAGCAGGCUGAAGUGGCAAUGGGCAGGCCACAUUGCGUGCAGAGAAGAUGGCCGAUGGAGUCGAAAAGUGCUCGAGUGGAGACCACGGACUAGCAAACGCAGCGUAGGACGUCCACCCACAAGAUGGACGGACGACCUUGUUAAGGCCGCCGGAAGACGCUGGAUGCGGAUCGCUUCCAACCGGUACGAGUGGAGGUCCAAGGGGGAGGCCUAUGUUCAGCAGUGGACGUCUUAUGGCUGAGAUGAUGAUGAUGAUGAUGAAGGUCUACAAGCAAAUAUCAGCCUUCGUGAAUUAAGUAUUGUAACCUUAGUCACAGAAUAGUAGUACAGUGGAACCUCGAUAGCACGGAUCUCAAGGGAAACGCCAAAACUUCGUGUUAACGAGGUUUUAUCUUAUAGAGUGCAUCGACUUAGAGAGGUUCUUGUAGGUUUUUGUUAGUGUCCGACCGAAACAUGUUUUUUUGCCGAAACCGAAACCGAAACCGAAUGUUCGGCUUUGGCUCUAGUUUCGGCCGAAACCGAAACCGAAACCGAAACUUUUGUAGAAUUGAUAAAAUCGUUGAAAAAUGUCAUAAAACCGCUUUUAUACACAUAUUAUGAGGCUGUCAACACCGAAUGUCCUUGAAAUUGAUGUUACUUAAGCAGUUUUUUUAAGAAAAUUACUAAGACCAAGAUAAUUCUGCAACGAUUUUGAUAACACACGCAGUGCAAGUGUUAUUUUAAACGUCAAAACUUCUAUGAAAUUAUGACGUAUCAAUAACAUUUGCACUAGUUGCACUGCGUAUCAAAAUCAUUGCAGAAUUUUCUUGGUCUAACUCUAUUCAGUCACCAGUCAAGCUAACAUGUAGAUACAGGGUCAACCAAAACACCAACCAAAAACGCGAGCGCAGCGAGCGCGAAAUAUUUUGUUAACAAUAUCGCAAGGCCAGGUACCGAUCUUCACCUGGGCCUAAAAGUCCGAAGUGCCCCAGUGAGGCGAACUUUCAUGCGAAGUCAAAGCCGUGCUUCAGGCUUCAGGAUAAGUAGUUGAGCACAGACUCCAACUAAUGUCCAUUGUAUUAAAAAGCGAGACCGCAGUUUCGUCGACGUUCGACGUUCGACGGAGCAAAAGUUUUUCGGAACUUAUUUACCUACGAAAUAUCAUUUGAUAUUUACUAUUUGCUUUUCGGUGAAGGAAAAACAUCGUAAGGAAGCCGGACUAGAUCCGAUAAGGCCUAGUUAAAACUCUGGGUUUGAAGGUCUGUCUGAUGGCAGUCGCUUUCGUAAAAACUAGUGCCUACACCAAUUUUUGGGAUUAGUUGUCUAUUGGACCCCAGGCUCCCAUUCCCAUUGCACGGCAAAAAUUCCGGGAUUACGCGAGGAAGAUGAUGAGUUUUCUUAUUAUUCUCUUGCCCAGGGCCCAGUAACAUGCGACAGUGCUAUCUCAUUCACUCCGAUACAAUUAGACAGUGUGCGCGUUAUAAGUAUUGACUAGGGCUUGCAAUAUCGGAUGGUCUCCAAUUCCGGAACUGAUUUUCGAUAUUGGAUUCGAAUUCCGGAAUUCCGGAACUGGUUCCGGAAUUAGGGGUUAUCGUAUUUUACCUAAUUUUUUUUGUAAAAUCCAAUAAAAAAUGUGAAAUUCUGAUACUUUACGUUUAUUAAAGUUAAUAUUGUUUAAGAGAAAUUUAAUUUGAAGUACUACAGAUAAUUUCAUCUCUUUUUUACCACCUUAUUAAAAUGGUUACUUUUAUUCAAUUCUAUGAUACGCGGUAUUUAUUCGGGGAAAAUUUGGUUGCUAGCAAACCAUUCAAUGGAUAAUUUUAUAAAAUAGUUAAAUAUAACAGCUCUAUAAUCAGCCUACUCUUCGUAACAUAGUACGUAGUGGUGUUGUUUAAGAAGUUGAAGGUCGAAAUUUGGCUUUUUCCUUCCUAGAUCCUAUUUAUAAUUCAGAAUAUCAUAUAUUAUAUGCUUCUACAGGAUCCGAAAUCGUUGAUAGAGAAAACUUUCUAUCUAAAUCGAAGAUUCGCUCAUGUAGGAUUGAGACUAUUCUGACUAUUCUAAGCAAGUAAAUCACUUUGCUUUUUUUUAUGAGCCCAUAUUGUCCCACUGCUUUAUCAAACCGAAAAGUAAAAUAUACCCAUACUAUAGGUCACUGAAUGACUAAGAGGAACUUAUUAACAACAAAAAACAUCAGUAUAGUGUAGUUUCUUAACAAUUUUCAAUAAUAAACGUAUUCAAACCUGAAAAAAGUACUUAAAUCCAAUUCCGGAAUUUUCGAUAUUCAGUUGUAUCAAUUCCGGAAUUGUAAUAUCGGAAAAUUUGUCCGAGAUUCCGGAAUUUCGAGAUUCCGGAAUUCCGGAAUGCAAGCCCUAGUAUUGACAGCCUCUUAAGACUGCGUCGGCCGUCCAGUGGCGCCCUCAUUAGUGGAAUUGUGUUUUAUAAUAAACCAAUUAAUUUCUGUACCUAUACAUGAAUCAGUAUUUGUAGAUAUUAAUAUUGUUGUCCUACUUAUUCCCCAACUUUUGGUCAUUGUCCGAAGUACCAUUUCGUAAGUUUCGGCCCGGCCGAAAGGUUCGGCCGUUUUUUGGCCGAAACCGAAACUACAGCCGAAACAUGAUUUUUUGGCCGAAACUGGCCGAAACCGAAACCGAAACCGAACCUUCGGUCGGACACUAGUUUUUGUUAGUCUUAAAAACACAUUAAAAUUCGUGUUAGGCAGGUGAUUAUACAUAGACACGUAAAAAUACAGUUUCUUUUUUUUUGAGUUACAGAGGUUCGUUAGUAAUAUCGAUAUAGAUGUGGUAAAACAAUACGACUAUUUUUUCUAGUUGCAUGGUCUCUCCGACCGCCAAGCGAACAUCGCUUAGCGAGUACCUACCGCUAAGCGACUUUAUCGUUGACAGCUUUUAUCGCUGCGAGUAAAGAGUGCAAAGAGAGUCCUCGCCGGCAAUGUGAACAGCCAGCGAUCAACUAUUAAUAUAGGUACCUAUCUAUUGUCUUUUACCGACACGGAAUCUCUAUCUUAUCGCUUACACGCCCUUGGUGCUUGGACUAGUGCAUAUCCAUACUUAAUAUUAUAAAGGCGAAAGUGUGGCUGUCUGUUUGUCUGUCUUGUCUGUUACCUCUUCACGCUUAAGCCACUGAACCGAUUUAUUUGAAAUAGGUAUGGUAUAGAGAUUGGUAUUAUAGUCCCGAGGAAGGACAUAGGAUAGUUUUUAUUCCAGAAAUCAUCCCUUAAAGGGGUGGAACUUUGUAUGGGGACUUAACACAAACUGGACAACAAACUUUGUCAAUAGGAACUGUCCCGCCCGCGCGGUGUAGCACCGGUGCUGGUGCACGAUUUAGUUGGGUACAUAGAGAUAGUUUGAGUCCCGGGGAAUGACAAAGGGUAGUUUUCAUUCAAGAAAUUACCUUUUAACUGAUUGAAUAAAAUAAUAGCUACCUACCUAAAUUAAUAAUUCCACGCUGAAGAUGUCGCGGGGAAAAGCUAGUAUAUAUAUAACAGAGAUGAGCCACUGAAAAUAUUAUUGAUACACAAUUAUGUAGACACCUAACCUAUUUUAUAUUAAGUAAGGAUAUAUUAUUAUCACUGCCAAAAUAAGGUUAAAGGUGCCGCCCUGUAGUAGUAGAAGGUAUUGUGAUAAAUAUUUUUCUU